RNAcentral lists this long non-coding RNA (2519 nucleotides) under Homo sapiens (human). Its description in RNAcentral is "HSALNT0375197". The record is from RNAcentral. Lineage: Eukaryota; Metazoa; Chordata; Mammalia; Primates; Hominidae.
ACAAAAUCAAAAGAAGAAAUCUGGUAAAUACAACCUCUAUAGGUUUUUACUUUUUGAUAGAUUUCAAUCAGAACAGGCGGGUGGGUGAAGGAGAGCGUAUGUAUAUUUGCAUGUGUUUCAUGGUUAUGAGAAUAACCUUACAGUCUGACAGCAUCGACACAGAAGAGGAACAACGAAGAGAAUCAACAUUUCCAAACUGUUUUGUUUUAAAUGUGGACCUAUACAGUUCCUAUGGUUCUAUACUUAGGAAAACACAUUCUCUCUUUUGUUAAUGAACGUAUCCAGACCCUCCAUCCAGAAAAGGAAUGGCUGCAGUAAGUGGCGACUACCCGCGUAGCACAUUCUCCUUCCAAGAACAUUACUGCAAGAUGCACCAGGCGAAGCCUCAGCCAGAGCCCUAAAAUGAGCUCCCUCCCUCGCCAGGGGGUUCAGGCACUCCCAGGACAACUCCCACUCUGUGGCAGAUGGUUGGUUCCCAUUGCAUCAACAAACAAGGAAACCAAGCUGAAAGAAGAGGCACAAGUUGUUUCAUCUGAGACUAAAAAAAAAGCUAGACAGGAGGCAACAGAUGAUGUGAGUGAUACUGAUGAGUCAAAAGGCGCAGUCAGCGGCAGAGUGUGCGCUUCGUCCCGGAGACAAGAGAAUCAACGGAGAGAAUGUUACGUCAACCACUAAUUUGUUAAUUAAUUUUACAGAAAGGCAUCUAUGUCUCCUUACCCUCCCCCCACAAUGGCAUUUCCUCAUUCCACUGUACACUGACGUGGAGAAUUUUUCAAAAACACAAAUCUUGUAUAGUUCCUGACUAUUCACUCAAGCGGUCCGGGUUAUUUUUAUUUUUAUUUUUUUUGUCUCAAUGGAUCUGAACCAGAGCUUCAUGUUUGUCAGUGGGUCUCUGGCCUCCUUAUGAGAGGGAAUUACUCGUUACACCACCAUCCCCCACCCCUACAAGUAUGCUGUUCACAGUGAAGUCCAUCAUCAGUGUAGGGAGUGGGACCCGGCCGGGGUCAUUGGCUGAAAUCCUGCUGCCACUAGAAAUCAAGAAAAACACACAAGAGAAAUAGAGAAUGAUGAGUGGCUGAAAUAUCUACUGGGAAGAUAUUUAAAAUCCUCGGAAAUGUCGAGAGUAGGGCUGUGAACCCUAUGUUAGGACAAAGUAAUUCACAUCGCAUAAUCAUAAAGAGAUCAUCUGGUCCAUUGUUUUUAAAAUUAUUUCUUAGCAGAUUCUGUUCUCAAGCAAAAUCUUAGGCAGGCUUCUAAUACCACAAAAGGAAUAGUGAAGAUAAAGGAAGAGCUGCUCAUACUGGGAAUAUCCCAGCAUAGAUUAUUCUACAUGGUUCUAAGACAUUUCUAAUUCAAAACGGCAAGACUAAAGAGCAAAGAGUUUGCAAGAAUGUGAAUUUGCUGUUCAGUAAUUGAGCUCACUGAAAACAAAAGUGCAGCUACAACCCAAUCUCUUUUCAGAGCACAUUGGAAUGGGGUUCUUUCUAGCACUCAGUAUGUUCACAACAACUGUUCAGUGAAGUAUGGGGUACAUGGAAAAAUCUACAUUGCAGUUUAGAAAACUUCCCAGUGAAUGGUCGAAUUCAAACACCAUAUGUCAAACCAUUCACUUUUAUUGAUCAAGACAGGUUGUUCUCGUAGAGGGAAGGCUUAAUUUAAUGACUCUGGAUAACAGGUGGCUUGGUUCAUAUGUUGAUAACUAUAGAUAAUGUGCUCUUGUUUUUUAUAGUAGUACACACAUCUUUCGGGACUGGAAGCCCCAAAUAACAAAAUGCCUCAUUCACCAGCCUCUUUGCCUAUCAUCACCAUCACCCGCCUCUUCCUGGUCAUACCUGAGAAACUUCUCCUAGUCAAGGUACUAUGGUCAGUGCCGACAGGGCUUCCACGAGCUCCUCCCAGAGUGACACCGUCUGUCUAUGUGAAUCAGAGAAGGCUCUUCCUUUUCCAGUACUAUGGAAUAAUUACGAGGGAUGCAUUGAAUCCUAGCAGCAUGGGCUGUCCUCAGUAGGAUGAUGCUGUGCAUGAUGGAAAGUCACUAUACCACUUAAGAGGAGCAGUUGCUGAGCCCUCAUCCUUUACCAGCCCUCCACUGCUCUUUCCCAUCAUAGCCUCAGGGUGACUAUGAAGGGGCAGCAGGAGGAGACCUUUCUGUUGAGGGCAUAGUUCUGCACAGGAAUCUACACAUCUUGUAGGAUGGCACGGGACUACACACAUUGUAGCAAUAUGAAUUUCCUGGUUUUAAUAUUGCAAUGUUGUUCCACAACACGUAACCACAGAGGGAAGCCGCAAAGUGGAUUAGAGAUCUCUCCAUAUUAGUUUUGCAUUUUCCUGUUAAUCUAUAAUCAUGUCAAAAUAAAAGGUUUUCUUUAAAAAAAAAAAAAAGCCCUGGAAUCUCUUUUUUUUGUUGGGAUUUGGUCCUUCUCCUUGUCUUUAUCCUGGGUACAUCACCUCUGUAGCACAGGGUUGCAGGGUAAGAGCAGUCAACCAGGCUCUAGAACUAGAGUUGGGAAGGGCACUGG